Non-coding RNA from Cicer arietinum (chickpea), 195 nucleotides. Lineage: Eukaryota; Viridiplantae; Streptophyta; Magnoliopsida; Fabales; Fabaceae. The record is from Rfam.
UUACCUUUCGCGGUCUUUUUACUAAGAUCAAGUGUAGUAUCUAUUCUUAUCAGUUUAAUAUUUUAUACGUGGGUCAACGAAUCACAUGAUAUUAAAUUAAUUUGUUGACGGGGUAAUCCUCAUUAAUAGCUGGCUAUUGGGAUCCUCAAGUGUCCGCCAUGCAUUGGAUUACUACACGGGUUUGGCACACCCUAC